RNAcentral lists this ribosomal RNA (406 nucleotides) under uncultured bacterium. RNAcentral describes it as "partial 16S ribosomal RNA". It matches the Rfam family "Bacterial small subunit ribosomal RNA", at positions 30 to 526 of the family's 1533-position model. The record is from RNAcentral.
AUUGAACGCUGGCGGCAGGCCUAACACAUGCAAGUCGAGCGAGCGGCGGACGGGUGAGUAAUGCCUAGGAAUCUGCCUGGUCGUGGGGGAUAACGUCCGGAAACGGUAGAUACUACCGCAUACCAUCAGACGUGCCCAGAUGGGAUUAGCGAGUAGGUGGGGUAACGGCUCACCUAGGCGACGAUCCCUAGCUGGUCUGAGAGGAUGACCAGCCACACUGGAACUGAGACACGGUCCAGACUCCUACGGGAGGCAGCCGUGGGAAAUAUUGCACAAUGGGCGCAAGCCUGAUGCAGCCAUGCCGCGUGUGGGAAGAAGGCCUUCGGGUUGUAAAGCACUUUCAGCGGGGAGGCGUUACCCGCAGAAGAAGCACCGGCUAACUCCGUGCCAGCAGCCGCGGUAAUUC